RNAcentral lists this ribosomal RNA (542 nucleotides) under uncultured Glomeromycotina. RNAcentral's name for it is "SSU rRNA". It matches the Rfam family "Eukaryotic small subunit ribosomal RNA", at positions 548 to 1098 of the family's 1831-position model. The record is from RNAcentral. Lineage: Eukaryota; Fungi; Glomeromycota.
UUGGAGGGCAAGUCUGGUGCCAGCAGCCGCGGUAAUUCCAGCUCCAAUAGCGUAUAUUAAAGUUGUUGCAGUUAAAAAGCUCGUAGUUGAAUUUCGGGGUUCUACCGUUGGUCGGGCUUUGUCUGUACUGGUGUGUAGAAUUUCUACCUUCUGGGGAACCAUCAUGCUAUUAAUUUAGCGUGGUGGGAAACCAGGACCUUUACCUUGAAAAAAUUAGUGUGUUCAAAGCAGGCUUAUGUCUGAAUACAUUAGCGUGGAAUAAUAGAAUAGGACGGUGGUCCUGUUUUGUUGGUUUCUGAAUCACCGUAAUGAUUAAUAGGGAUAGUUGGGGGCAUUAGUAUUCAAUUGUCAGAGGUGAAAUUCUUGGAUUUAUUGAAGACUAACUUCUGCGAAAGCAUUUGCCAAGGAUGUUUUCAUUAAUCAAGAACGAAAGUUAGGGGAUCGAAGACGAUCAGAUACCGUCGUAGUCUUAACCAUAAACUAUGCCGACUAGGGAUCGGACGAUGUUAAUAUUCUUGACUCGUUCGGCGCCUUACGGAAAC